GUCGUGAGAUGUUGGGUUAAGUCCCGCAACGAGCGCAACCCUUGUCCUAUGUUGCCAGCGGGUUAUGCCGGGGACUCGUAGGAGACUGCCGGGGUCAACUCGGAGGAAGGUGGGGACGACGUCAAGUCAUCAUGCCCCUUAAGCCCAGGGCUGCAAACAUGCUACAAUGGCCAGUACAAAGGGCUGCUAUACCGCGAGGUUGAGCGAAUCCCAUAAAGCUGGUCUCAGUUCGGAUUGGAGUCUGCAACUCGACUCCAUGAAGCCGGAGUCGCUAGUAAUCCCGGAUCAGCAACGCCGGGGUGAAUACGUUCCCGGGCCUUGUACACACCGCCCGUCACACCACGAAAGUCGGCAACGCCCGAAGCCAGUGGCCUAACCCUUUGGGGAAGGAGCUGUCGAAGGUGGGGUCGGCGAUUGGGGUGAAGUCGUAACAAGGUAGCCGUACCGGAAGGUGCGGCUGGAUCACCUCCUUUCUAAGGAGAUCACCUCCACUUUGGAGGAGAACUCCCAGUUGAUGCACUCGUUACUCGGUGUCCGUUGAGACUCGAGCGGUCGUAGGUUCCGACCUCCCGACUCGAGCUCCAUGGUUCCGUCGUCCUCUGUUCCGCUUUGAAGGAGCGCCCCGACGUCCCCGGCCUUGCUGCCGGGGCGCCGUCGCGUCUGACGCCCCUUGAGAACUGCAUAGCGAGCACGAGCAUCUUUGUUCUUCCAAGCUACAAAGAGCCAACGGUGGAUGCCUUGGCGUCUACUACCGAUGAAGGACGUGUCUGGCUGCGAUAAGCCACGGGAAGCUGCCGAGAAAGCGUUGAUCCGUGGAUGU
This 820-nucleotide small RNA is filed under the name uncultured Sphingomonadaceae bacterium. RNAcentral describes it as "bacterial SSU rRNA". The stretch from base 1 to 473 matches the Rfam family "Bacterial small subunit ribosomal RNA", at positions 1064 to 1533 of the family's 1533-position model. The record is from RNAcentral. Lineage: Bacteria; Pseudomonadati; Pseudomonadota; Alphaproteobacteria; Sphingomonadales; Sphingomonadaceae.